RNAcentral lists this ribosomal RNA (530 nucleotides) under uncultured bacterium. RNAcentral's name for it is "bacterial SSU rRNA". It matches the Rfam family "Bacterial small subunit ribosomal RNA", at positions 355 to 896 of the family's 1533-position model. The record is from RNAcentral.
UGGGGAAUAUUGCACAAUGGGCGGAAGCCUGAUGCAGCGACGCCGCGUGGGGGAUGAAGGCCUUCGGGUUGUAAACUCCUUUCGACAGGGACGAAGCUUUUGUGACGGUACCUGUAUAAGAAGCACCGGCUAACUACGUGCCAGCAGCCGCGGUAAUACGUAGGGUGCGAGCGUUGUCCGGAAUUACUGGGCGUAAAGAGCUCGUAGGUGGUUUGUCGCGUCGUCUGUGAAAUUCCGGGGCUUAACUCCGGGCGUGCAGGCGAUACGGGCUGACUUGAGUGCUGUAGGGGAGACUGGAAUUCCUGGUGUAGCGGUGAAAUGCGCAGAUAUCAGGAGGAACACCGAUGGCGAAGGCAGGUCUCUGGGCAGUAACUGACGCUGAGGGGCGAAAGCAUGGGUAGCGAACAGGAUUAGAUACCCUGGUAGUCCAUGCCGUAAACGGUGGGCGCUAGGUGUAGGGGGCUUCCACGUCUUCUGUGCCGUAGCUAACGCAUUAAGCGCCCCGCCUGGGGAGUACGGCCGCAAGGCUA